This 120-nucleotide transfer RNA is filed under the name Pseudoxanthomonas sp. Its description in RNAcentral is "tRNA-OTHER". The record is from RNAcentral. Lineage: Bacteria; Pseudomonadati; Pseudomonadota; Gammaproteobacteria; Lysobacterales; Lysobacteraceae.
GCCUGAGAUACGAGACGUACGAAAUGGACGCAAGAGCCUUGUUUUCAAGCCUAAACACCGAACUGAAACCUGAGACUGUUAAUCAGGGGGUCGUUGGUUCGAGUCCAACUUCGGGCGCCA